AGACCCUGAUGCCGCCGCUUGGCUCAGUCACUUCUCCUUAGUUACGGGCUGAGUUCGAGUUAUGGCAUGUCACGGUUAGAGUUGUUGUUGCUGUUACGAGUAGUUGGGGCUGAGGUUGCCUCCGUCGUCGGAGCUGUGCCGGGGCCGGUUCGAAACCACAGCUGCUUCGUGUUGUUAUUCCGAGCUGUUUAUGCUGCUGCAAAAAUGUGUGGGGCUGUGCUUUGAAGCUGCCUUUGAUUUUGAGUUGAGGUGAAAAGAACUUAUGAGGCGCUUGGAUUAUGGAAUUGUGUUUUGAGGUAGGGGCGCUUUCCAAAAACUAUAGUUUAUUAUUGAAAUUAUUACAUAUGGGUACUGAUGUGAGAUAUUGUGUAUUUGGUGAUUGUAUCUG
Molecule: non-coding RNA, 388 nt
Organism: Arachis ipaensis
Lineage: Eukaryota; Viridiplantae; Streptophyta; Magnoliopsida; Fabales; Fabaceae
Source: RefSeq, a predicted model, not a curated record